GCACUCAAUUUGGCAGCACAUAUUCUACAAUUAGAAUGACAGAGAUUAGCAGCCUUGCCCUUGUGCAUGGAUGACAUGCAAAUUUAUGAAGUGUUCCAUAGUUUU
This is a small nuclear RNA of Dipodomys ordii (Ord's kangaroo rat), 105 nucleotides long. The record is from Ensembl. Lineage: Eukaryota; Metazoa; Chordata; Mammalia; Rodentia; Heteromyidae.